ACAUGGCAGAAACAGCACGCCAGCUCGACAUCAGAUCUGAUAGGGGGACGAGCAGAAGCAGCAUGGGCUAGCAAGCGCUCAAAAUCUAGUCAUGCUUAGAAUUACAUAGUCCCUGGAGAAAAGGGAUUUGUAGGGGCAAUCAUUACAAUGUUUGGCUCGCAAGCGGCCAUUUCAGAGAUCGGUGAGUAAAGUUAAAAUCCUGUUCGAGAAGUUGAAAACCUCUUAAGUUAAUGAAGCAAAGGUCCAGACUGGGAAAAAUGGAAGCCCUCAGUAGGCAUUGGAAGUGCUCAAGCCAGCAAAUUGAUGAUCCUACCUGGCACGUAUUUCCAGCACCUGGGAAACAUAAGGGCAAAGACAGCUGCAUUGCAGAACCAGAUGCUGCCAGAUGUGCAUAAUUUUCUCAGCUAUUUCUCCUCCAAGCCACCCACCAUCUUGACUUUGAAAUAUAUCACUGUUCCUUCACUGUCGCUGGAUUCAAACCCUGGAAUUCCUUCCCUAAUAUGAUUGUGGGUCAACCCACAGCAGGUGGGCUGCAGUGGUUCAAGAAGGCAGCUCACCACCACCUUCUCAAGAGCAAUUAUGGACAGGCAAUAAAUGCUGGCCAGUCAGCGACACCCAAA
Long non-coding RNA from Stegostoma tigrinum, 620 nucleotides. RefSeq lists it as uncharacterized. The record is from RefSeq and is a predicted model, not a curated record. The transcript is spliced from 3 exons. Lineage: Eukaryota; Metazoa; Chordata; Chondrichthyes; Orectolobiformes; Stegostomatidae.